RNAcentral lists this ribosomal RNA (322 nucleotides) under uncultured Anaerolineaceae bacterium. Its description in RNAcentral is "bacterial SSU rRNA". It matches the Rfam family "Bacterial small subunit ribosomal RNA", at positions 1048 to 1382 of the family's 1533-position model. The record is from RNAcentral. Lineage: Bacteria; Bacillati; Chloroflexota; Anaerolineae; Anaerolineales; Anaerolineaceae.
GUUGUCGUCAGCUCGUGUCGUGAGAUGUCGGUUAAGUCCGCUAACGAGCGCAACCCUCGCUGUGUGUUACAAGUGUCACACGGGAACUGCCGGUCAUAAACCGGAGGAAGGUGGGGAUGACGUCAAGUCAGCAUGGCCUUUAUAUCCUGGGCUACACACACGCUACAAUGGGAAGGGACAAUAGGUUGCGAAGCCGCGAGGCGGAGCCAAUCCAGCAAAACUUCCCUCAGUUCAGAUUGCAGGCUGCAACUCGCCUGCAUGAAGUUGGAGUUGCUAGUAAACGCAGGUCAGCCAUACUGCGUUGAAUACGUUCCCGGGGCUU